This 295-nucleotide unclassified non-coding RNA is filed under the name air metagenome. RNAcentral describes it as "partial contains small subunit ribosomal RNA, internal transcribed spacer 1, and 5.8S ribosomal RNA". The stretch from base 1 to 46 matches the Rfam family "Eukaryotic small subunit ribosomal RNA", at positions 1786 to 1831 of the family's 1831-position model. The record is from RNAcentral.
AAGUCGUAACAAGGUUUCCGUAGGUGAACCUGCGGAAGGAUCAUUAUUGAAUAAACUUGAUGUGGUUGUAGCUGACUCCUUUGAAAGGGGUAUGUGCUCGCCCAUCAUCUUUGUCUUUCCACCUGUGCACUACUUGUAGACUUGGAUGUCAUGUUUUGAAUGCCUUUAUGGGGCUUUCAUUAGAUGUCCAAGCCUAUGCUUUUCAUAUACUCCAAAGAAUGUAACAGAAUGUAUCACUAGGCCCUAUGUGCCUAUAAACUUUGUACAACUUUCAGCAACGGAUCUCUUGGCUCUC